Molecule: unclassified non-coding RNA, 1523 nt
Filed under: Bombus terrestris (buff-tailed bumblebee)
Lineage: Eukaryota; Metazoa; Arthropoda; Insecta; Hymenoptera; Apidae
Description: misc RNA ENSBTSG00005032445.1
Source: RNAcentral
CGUUAGCUGGACUCGAACUUUCCCCUAAUUAUCAAAGAGCACUCGAGAAGAAACACCGAGCGGAGGAGUCGGUACCGCGACAGAUGCAAUUAUAGUUAGUUACGGGAACUAAUCUACUGCAGCUGCUUGUACUUCGUCAUCGAGACUUUGUAAUGUAAUUUAGAAAGCCACCACGGCAUCUGUGUCCAAUUACACGACCAGCCGAAUAUCCACAAAACCGGAUAAAACUCGGUGACCUAUUAGGAAUAACGUAAUUCCAUACGUCCGACAAGUUUGCUGGCUAAAACAGGGGAAACACGAUGACAUCAGUGUUCAACCGUAAUUUUCGCAAGAUGGCUGCGCUGGCUGAACGUCUGCUAGUAUUUUCAUGGAUGAAAGAAGAGCCGACCGAAGGGAAUCAUCUAUCAUUAUCGGCUCUCAGGUGUCAACGUCGGAUGAAAUCGAAUUUUUUGUUACGAUCGACACCUCCGGAUCGCGUUCUCGUGACAAAACAGCACUCACGAUCAGAACCAAAAAGAAAAUGAAAAACAUCGUCUUUUUAUUACGCCUCUUUAACAAAUGGCCCUGCCGGUCGAGUCAUUCACGAUGAAAACAUUUUUCUAAUGGAAACUUUAACCUUCUUAUCAACGAAGUCUUUCGGACGACUAUUAUCCACAAGGUUCCUUCUUCCUUCUUUUUGCGGAAAUCCCGAUGAAACCACAGAUAAAUGAAAUGGCAAUUAACAACGUGACCAAAUGCAUAGGACGAUCGGUUUGCUGAAUGAAGCAGCAGCCUACGUGAUUCUCUUCUCUAAUAGCAAUCAAAGUAAUUAAUUAUCCAACGUCCAUCGCUUUCUCCCUCAAUCACGUCGACACGAGUUCCGACAUCAUCGGAGAUGACUAAGUAUCCGUUUUCCUUGCUUUUAUUCCGUCAUCUCGCUUUUCACAUUGCUUUCGCAAAGUUUUACGUAUCAUCUGUUAUAUUAAUUUCAUUUGGACGUAGUUACGUUGCAAAAUUUCGUACGAUUAUUAUCCAGCCGAUAAUAAUACAGAAGUGGCAAUUAUUAAACGUCCCAGCAAUUUCUACAUUUAAUUAAUACGUUAAUUGCAUGCUAGCCACACAAUAGCAGUUAUUGUCAUUUCGUUGACAACUUCAUUUAAAUUGUUCGAUGAAUUUUUCCGAAUGAAAGAGCAACGAGUCAACCUUUACCGAAACGUUUCUACAGUAAUAGCUACAUUAAUAUUGCAUGGCACAGGAAUGCAGUAAUUAACGAACAAUUAUUCAGAGCGAUGUAUGUACAUUCAUUAAUACGAUCGAUCGUCGAUACGUUGAUUAUUCAACGCUGUAAAAAUCAAGUAUCAAAAAAGGAAAUAUUUUAUGUCCCGUAACAUAAGCCAAACGAUAGAAUCGAUGUUAAAAAAUCUCUCUUAGCGUAAAAAUAUUUUUACGCCAUGAAAGUAGUCAUAGAUAGGAUAUUAAUAUCCUAGCAGAAGCGAUGAUCCAAUAAAACGAACGAGCUCAUCCGACCAAUACGAAAUAGUUUC